UACGUAGGGUGCGAGCGUUGCCCGGAUUUAUUGGGCGUAAAGGGCGCGCAGGCGGCUACGCACGUCCGUUGUGAAAUCGCUCGGCUCAACUGGGCGGGGUCAGCGGAUACGGCGUAGCUGGAGCAAGCUAGGGGGCAAUGGAAUUCCCGGUGUAGUGGUGGAAUGCGUAGAUAUCCGGAGGAACACCAGUGGCGAAGGCGACACGCUGGGCCGUACCUGACACUGAACCGCGACAGCAUGGGGAGCAAACAGG
RNAcentral lists this ribosomal RNA (253 nucleotides) under uncultured bacterium. RNAcentral's name for it is "partial 16S ribosomal RNA". It matches the Rfam family "Bacterial small subunit ribosomal RNA", at positions 524 to 776 of the family's 1533-position model. The record is from RNAcentral.